This 1653-nucleotide long non-coding RNA is filed under the name Dicentrarchus labrax (European seabass). RNAcentral describes it as "lncRNA (ENSDLAG00005028047.1)". Lineage: Eukaryota; Metazoa; Chordata; Actinopteri; Moronidae. The record is from RNAcentral.
GUUAUAUGUUCACCAUUCUGAUGACAUUAAGAGAAGAAGCUUGUCUAGAGUCUGACCGAUUUUGAAGUGACAUUAAAAUUUGACAUAAUACUUUGGAAGGUUUAAAAGAAGAAAGGAUGUUGCUACCUGAGUAAAUCUUAGUGGUCAAGUUGCAGAUUGCAGCCAACUGAAUGUAGCUUGCCAUCCAAGUGUGAAAAAGAAACUGGCAAAAGAAUAAACAUGUAGAAACAUGGAAGUUCAACAUGGCAGACUUCAUAGGAGAGGACCCACUCCCUCUGAGCCGUUAUGAUCUACAUUCUAAGCAUGGAAGGCUACCUUUGACCUUCAAGGUGUUGCCCUCCAAUCAUCACACAUGCAUGCUUGUACAUCUACGCGCCGCCCUCAGGGAGAGAAGUCCCCCAAGCUCCCAGGUUUCUGUGCCCUGCCUGGAGGAUGUGUACCUGAGCGAUGAAGCUGCAAAUCAUGAGUACUGAGGAUUCCUGCAAAAUCACUGCAGCUGUUCACAUAUAUUGCUUUGAUAUUACAGUUCCUUUGAUGUAAAACCCUUAAGGGCUUGGAUUGCAUUUUGCCUUUGAGAGCACUGAAAAAUCUCCAGCUCUACUUUGAAGCAGAGACAGUGGCCUGGAACAGCGUGAUCUCUGUCUCCAGGGCAAACACAAGAACAUGAAGAUGCCAAAUGCUACAGCAAAAUAAAAAUCUAUUUGGUGCAGAACCUUAACAGACUGUAAAUAAACAGACUUAUGAUUGCACUUGGUUGUUGAAAUACAUUCAAUUUGGCAAAACUGACCACACUGUAUGUCUUUUAUUCCCUCCAGUAAGCAGUGUUGAAAAGGUCGGAACCCAGACAAUGAUCGACCAAAAUUCACUUUUUAAAGGAAUUAGAAACUCCUUAGCUCUUUCAAGCAUCCUCUUUAGCAAAUGGUCUGAACGGCCAAUAUUCUACUUGAGGUAAAAGGUGUUAUCUCCUCAGCUUGAAAGGUUGCUUUCUUUGUGUGCACACUACACUUUUUGCACCUUUGAUUUCAGCAACGGGUCAAUUAUGUGUAUUAACUCUGGUGGUUUUUGCCAAGCCAUUAGGUGCCAGCAUUUGUCUUUUACAAGGCACACCAUAUGGAUUUUAUUGAUCGUGAGUGGUCUUAACAGAACAUUUUAAGACCCACAUAAACAUUUACUGUAACAAUGCACCCAUUUGGACAGGGGAGAAUUCAUAAUGCAGUGCUGUAAAUCUAAAUUAGUCUAAGUGUCUCUGUAGAUAUUUCUGCCUAUGCAGCUCAUCAUGAUGUUAUUUGUUCUGGAUGCAUUUCAGCGGCCGUGAUUACUCUUGAUAUGUUGUAACUUACUUCUAAUGUCUCAUAUGUUGUUUCUCACUGCAAGCAAAGGCUGGUGGUUACCAGGAAAUAGAUGUAAAGUAGCUUGGAAUACAACUUAGACAAGUAUAUUAUAAUUAUAACAUAAAUCAUAAUCAUGACAAUGCAUAUCAUGAAUAGGACUUUAUGGAUAAUUGUGAUGAUACAGCCGUGUUUCACUAAUAAUAUUUGUUAUUUAGUAAGUUAUUUUUAUGACUUAGUUUCUCCUAAUUAAAACUUUUUGUCAUUAUUGCUGAAAUUUUUACUGUGUUUGGACAGUAUUAUUAAUACUUAAAAAGCUAGUUAC